GACGAACCGUGCAAACGUUAUUCGGAAUCACUGGGCUUAAAGGGCGCGUAGGCGGGCGGUCAAGUCAGGGGUGAAAUCUUUCGGCUCAACCGGAAAAGUGCCUUUGAUACUGGCCGUCUGGAGGGAGGUAGGGGCGUGCGGAACUUUGGGUGGAGCGGUGAAAUGCGUAGAUAUCAAGCGGAACACCAGUGGCGAAGGCGAGUCCCUGGACAACACCUGACACUGAGGCACGAAAGCUAGGGGAGCAAACAGG
This 253-nucleotide ribosomal RNA is filed under the name uncultured bacterium. RNAcentral describes it as "partial 16S ribosomal RNA". It matches the Rfam family "Bacterial small subunit ribosomal RNA", at positions 524 to 776 of the family's 1533-position model. The record is from RNAcentral.